This 806-nucleotide ribosomal RNA is filed under the name uncultured Pelagibacteraceae bacterium. RNAcentral's name for it is "bacterial SSU rRNA". It matches the Rfam family "Bacterial small subunit ribosomal RNA", at positions 33 to 887 of the family's 1533-position model. The record is from RNAcentral. Lineage: Bacteria; Pseudomonadati; Pseudomonadota; Alphaproteobacteria; Candidatus Pelagibacterales; Candidatus Pelagibacteraceae.
ACGCUGGCGGCACGCCUAACACAUGCAAGUCGAACGAAGUAGCAAUACUUAGUGGCGAACGGGUGAGUAUAAUGUGGGUAUCUGCCUUUUGGUUUGGAAUAACACGGGGAAACUUGUGCUAAUACUGAAUAAGCCUUUACAGGGAAAGUUUUAACGCCGAAAGAUGAGCCCGCACUUGAUUAGCUAGUUGGUAAGGUAAUGGCUUACCAAGGCUACGAUCAAUAGCUGAUCUGAGAGGAUGAUCAGCCACAUUGGGACUGAGACACGGCCCAAACUCCUACGGGAGGCAGCAGUGGGGAAUCUUGCACAAUGGGGGAAACCCUGAUGCAGCGAUGCCGCGUGAGUGAAGAAGGCCUUUGGGUUGUAAAGCUCUUUCGUCGGGGAAGAAAAUGACUGUACCCGAAUAAGAAGGUCCGGCUAACUUCGUGCCAGCAGCCGCGGUAAUACGAAGGGACCUAGCGUAGUUCGGAAUUACUGGGCUUAAAGAGCUCGUAGGUGGUUAGAAAAGUUGGUGGUGAAAUCCCAAGGCUUAACCUUGGAACUGCCAUCAAAACUUUUUAACUAGAGUGUGAUAGAGGAAAGUGGAAUUUCUAGUGUAGAGGUGAAAUUCGUAGAUAUUAGAAAGAACACCAAUUGCGAAGGCAACUUUCUGGAUCACUACUGACACUGAGGAGCGAAAGCAUGGGUAGCGAAGAGGAUUAGAUACCCUCGUAGUCCAUGCUGUAAACGAUGUGUGUUAGACGUUGGAAAUUUAAUUUUCAGUGUCGCAGCAAAAGCGUUAAACACACCGCCUGGGGAGUACGACC